Molecule: ribosomal RNA, 452 nt
Filed under: Theileria capreoli
Lineage: Eukaryota; Apicomplexa; Aconoidasida; Piroplasmida; Theileriidae
Description: SSU rRNA
Rfam family: Eukaryotic small subunit ribosomal RNA
Source: RNAcentral
UUGGAGGGCAAGUCUGGUGCCAGCAGCCGCGGUAAUUCCAGCUCCAAUAGCGUAUAUUAAAAUUGUUGCAGUUAAAAAGCUCGUAGUUGAAUUUCUGCUGCAUUGCAUUUUCUCCUAUACGAGUUUUUGCAUUGUGGCUUAUUUCGGUUAUAAAAUUAAUUUUAUUUCCGGAUGUUUACUUUGAGAAAAUUAGAGUGCUCAAAGCAGGCUUUUGCCUUGAAUAGUUUAGCAUGGAAUAAUAAAGUAGGACUUUGGUUCUAUUUUGUUGGUUUUAGGUACCAAAGUAAUGGUUAAUAGGAACAGUUGGGGGCAUUCGUAUUUAACUGUCAGAGGUGAAAUUCUUAGAUUUGUUAAAGACGAACUACUGCGAAAGCAUUUGCCAAGGAUGUUUUCAUUAAUCAAGAACGAAAGUUAGGGGAUCGAAGACGAUCAGAUACCGUCGUAGUCCUAAC